UACGAAGGGGGCUAGCGUUGCUCGGAAUCACUGGGCGUAAAGCGCACGUAGGCGGUUUGUUAAGUCUGUCGUGAAAGCCCUGGGCUCAACCUGGGAAUUGCGAUGGAUACUGGCAAGCUAGAGUACGGUAGAGGAUGGUGGAAUUCCCGGUGUAGCGGUGAAAUGCGUAGAGAUCGGGAGGAACACCCGUGGCGAAGGCGGCCAUCUGGACCAGUACUGACGCUGAGGCACGAAAGCGUGGGGAGCAAACAGG
Molecule: ribosomal RNA, 253 nt
Filed under: uncultured bacterium
Lineage: Bacteria
Description: partial 16S ribosomal RNA
Rfam family: Bacterial small subunit ribosomal RNA
Source: RNAcentral